GGAUCAGGUAGGAAUACCCGCUGAACUUAAGCAUAUCAAUAGCCGAAGGAA
RNAcentral lists this ribosomal RNA (51 nucleotides) under Pestalotiopsis sp. ZH4-C1. RNAcentral's name for it is "partial 28S ribosomal RNA". The record is from RNAcentral. Lineage: Eukaryota; Fungi; Ascomycota; Sordariomycetes; Amphisphaeriales; Sporocadaceae.